GAUGAACGCUGGCGGCGUGCUUAACACAUGCAAGUCGAACGGGAAAUAUUUCAUUGAGACUUCGGUGGAUUUGAUUUAUUUCUAGUGGCGGACGGGUGAGUAACGCGUGGGUAACCUGCCUUAUACAGGGGGAUAACAGUCAGAAAUGGCUGCUAAUACCGCAUAAGCGCACAGAGCUGCAUGGCUCAGUGUGAAAAACUCCGGUGGUAUAAGAUGGACCCGCGUUGGAUUAGCUAGUUGGUGGGGUAACGGCCCACCAAGGCGACGAUCCAUAGCCGGCCUGAGAGGGUGAACGGCCACAUUGGGACUGAGGCACGGCCCAGACUCCUACGGGAGGCAGCAGUGGGGAAUAUUGCACAAUGGGGGAAACCCUGAUGCAGCGACGCCGCGUGAAGGAAGAAGUAUCUCGGUAUGUAAACUUCUAUCAGCAGGGAAGAUAGUGACGGUACCUGACUAAGAAGCCCCGGCUAACUACGUG
This 478-nucleotide ribosomal RNA is filed under the name uncultured bacterium. Its description in RNAcentral is "partial 16S ribosomal RNA". It matches the Rfam family "Bacterial small subunit ribosomal RNA", at positions 28 to 507 of the family's 1533-position model. The record is from RNAcentral.